RNAcentral lists this ribosomal RNA (253 nucleotides) under uncultured bacterium. RNAcentral describes it as "partial 16S ribosomal RNA". It matches the Rfam family "Bacterial small subunit ribosomal RNA", at positions 524 to 776 of the family's 1533-position model. The record is from RNAcentral.
UACGUAGGGUCCGAGCGUUGUCCGGAAUUACUGGGCGUAAAGAGCUCGUAGGUGGUUUGUCGCGUUGUUCGUGAAAACUCACAGCUUAACUGUGGGCGUGCGGGCGAUACGGGCAGACUUGAGUACUGCAGGGGAGACUGGGAUUCCUGGUGUAGCGGUGGAAUGCGCAGAUAUCAGGAGGAACACCGGUGGCGAAGGCGGGUCUCUGGGCAGUAACUGACGCUGAGGAGCGAAAGCGUGGGGAGCGAACAGG